RNAcentral lists this ribosomal RNA (445 nucleotides) under uncultured bacterium. Its description in RNAcentral is "SSU rRNA". It matches the Rfam family "Bacterial small subunit ribosomal RNA", at positions 26 to 518 of the family's 1533-position model. The record is from RNAcentral.
AGAGCGAACGCUGGCGGCAGGCCUAACACAUGCAAGUCGAGCGCCGUAGCAAUACGGAGCGGCAGACGGGAGAGUAACACGUGGGAACGUGCCCUUUGGUUCGGAACAACACAGGGAAACUUGUGCUAAUACCGGAUAAGCCCUUACGGGGAAAGAUUUAUCGCCAAAGGAUCGGCCCGCGUCUGAUUAGCUAGUUGGUGAGGUAACGGCUCACCAAGGCUACGAUCAGUAGCUGGUCUGAGAGGAUGAUCAGCCUCACUGGGACUGAGACACGGCCCAGACUCCUACGGGAGGCAGCAGUGGGAAUAUUGGACAAUGGGCGCAAGCCUGAUCCAGCCAUGCCGCGUGGGUGAUGAAGGCCCUAGGGUUGUAAAGCCCUUUCGGCGGGGAAGAUAAUGACCGGUACCGCAGAAGAAGCCCCGGCUAACUUCGUGCCAGCAGCCGC